Molecule: ribosomal RNA, 437 nt
Filed under: Streptococcus sp. oral taxon 070
Lineage: Bacteria; Bacillati; Bacillota; Bacilli; Lactobacillales; Streptococcaceae
Description: bacterial SSU rRNA
Rfam family: Bacterial small subunit ribosomal RNA
Source: RNAcentral
GACGAACGCUGGCGGCGUGCCUAAUACAUGCAAGUAGAACGCUGAAGCUUGGUGCUUGCACCGAGCGGAUGAGUUGCGAACGGGUGAGUAACGCGUAGGUAACCUGCCUGGUAGCGGGGGAUAACUAUUGGAAACGAUAGCUAAUACCGCAUAAAAUGAAUUAUCGCAUGAUAAUUCAUUGAAAGGUGCAAAUGCAUCACUACCAGAUGGACCUGCGUUGUAUUAGCUAGUUGGUGGGGUAACGGCUCACCAAGGCGACGAUACAUAGCCGACCUGAGAGGGUGAUCGGCCACACUGGGACUGAGACACGGCCCAGACUCCUACGGGAGGCAGCAGUAGGGAAUCUUCGGCAAUGGACGGAAGUCUGACCGAGCAACGCCGCGUGAGUGAAGAAGGUUUUCGGAUCGUAAAGCUCUGUUGUAAGAGAAGAACGAGUG